Molecule: non-coding RNA, 2750 nt
Organism: Odocoileus virginianus texanus
Lineage: Eukaryota; Metazoa; Chordata; Mammalia; Artiodactyla; Cervidae
Source: RefSeq, a predicted model, not a curated record
CCUGUCCCGCGCUCGAACUGCUUCCGGCAGGAGCCGGAAGACGCUCUGUGUGGACAGAAUUCGGGACCGACUGACGGACGGACUGCUGCCCGGGACUGAAAGGCGACAUUGAUUACCCACCCAGCUCAGCAUCUUACAGGAAAAUCAUAGCCCUUCCUAGAGGAAUAUGAGCACAACAGGAAGGUGUCACUGACUCUGUAUUAAAAUUUUAACCUGUCCCCUCAACAGCUACAGAAUUUGGAAGCUGAAUCAAUGUUAUCAGAUGAGUUAGAAUCCAAACCAGAGCUCCUGGUACAGUUUGUUCAGAAUACGUCCAUCCCCCUGGGACAGGGGUUAGUAGAAUCAGAAGCUAAAGACAUAACUUGCUUGUCCCUACUUCCAGUGACUGAAGCCUCAGAAUGCAGUCGGCUAAUGUUACCAGAUGAUACUCCAAAUCAUAUGAACUCCUCCAAGGAGGUUCCUUCCUCAGCUGUGUUGAGAAGCCUUCAGGUGAAUGUGGGUCCAGACGGAGAAGAGACGAGGGCUCAGACUGUACAGAAGUCUCCAGAGUUUUUGUCCACUCCAGAGUCCCCUAGCUUGUUGCAAGAUCUACAGCCAAGUGAUAGCACUUCUUUUAUUCUUCUUAACCUAACAAGAGCAGGUCUGGGCUCUUCAGCCGAACACUUGGUAUUUGUACAAGAUGAGGCAGAGGAUUCAGGGAAUGAUUUCCUCUCCAGUGAGAGCACAGACAGUAGCAUUCCCUGGUUCCUCCGGGUUCAGGAGUUGGCCCAUGACAGUUUGAUUGCUGCUACUCGGGCUCAGCUGGCAAAGAAUGCAAAGACCAGCAGCAGUGGAGAAAAUGUCCACCUUAGUUCUGGUGAUGGGCAACCCAAAGAUUCUGGGCCCCUUCCUCAAAUGGAGAAGAAGCUCAAGUGUACAGUUGAAGGCUGUGACCGGACAUUUGUGUGGCCAGCUCAUUUUAAGUACCACCUCAAAACUCAUCGAAACGACCGCUCCUUUAUCUGCCCUGCAGCAGGUUGUGGGAAAAGCUUCUAUGUUCUACAGAGGCUGAAGGUGCACAUGAGGACCCACAAUGGGGAGAAGCCCUUUGUGUGCCCUGAGUCCAACUGUGGUAAGCAGUUCACAACAGCUGGAAACCUGAAGAACCACCUGCGCAUCCAUACAGGAGAGAAGCCUUUCCUUUGUGAAGCCCAAGGAUGUGGCCGUUCCUUUGCUGAGUAUUCUAGUCUUCGAAAACAUUUGGUGGUUCACUCAGGAGAGAAGCCACAUCAGUGUCAAGUCUGUGGAAAGACCUUCUCUCAGAGUGGGAGUAGGAAUGUGCACAUGAGAAAGCAUCACUUGCAGAUGGGAGCAGCUGGGAGUCAAGAGCAGGAACCAGCUGUUAUGGAAGAACUUAACUUUUAAAACAUUUAAACAGGACAUAACCAGGUUUUACAGAGGAGAAUUAAAGCAAUUUCUCCAUACCUUCAAAAGCCAUAUCUUCUGGAGAAAAGAAAGGGCUCUGUAGGAAACAGUUGCUCCUCUCUGGUAUAGAAAGUUCACCCAAGUUACACAGGCCAGGCCCUCUUCUCUGAAAAACUUAACAGGUGAGGUCAGCAUGCAUUUAUUCAGUGCCUACUUGUGUACCUGGCACCAUGGGAAAGAUAAAAGUAGAAGACAGGGGCCUUAAAAUCUAGUUGAGAAGUCAAAACUUAUAUUUGGGAAACAACACUGAGUGAGUAGAAGGUAGUGUUUUAAGCAAACAUUAAGUUAUGUGGUAUCCUGGAAGAGCAAUGUAAACUAGAAAGCCCCUUUUAAUUUAUUUGAGAGCUAAGUGGUUUAUGUGUAAGCUGUUUCCGGAAGAUCUUCAUGGUGAUUCUGCUGAUAAACAUUUAAUAAGUCAGAUCCUGUGUUUUCCUUACUCAAGCCCCAGUCAGUUUUGGUUAUAAAGACCAUGUUUGUGUAACUUACAUAUGGAGCGUACAAGGCCCCAAGUGUGCUUCCACAAUAAGCCUCUUCUGUCCCAUAAAUGAUACUAGUGGAUAACUGAAGCAUGAGGCAUAGAAAUGGCAUGGAGCUCCUUAGCCAGCCGUAAGGAAGAAGAUCUAAAAGGAGGAAGAGACAAUGAGUAGGAACCUUGGAGCCAGGUUUAAGCGCUUGACCAGCACUUACUGUGCUGUUGCCAUUACUGGUGACUGCUUUGCAGGUUGGCUCUGGUUUCCUGAUUCAUAUGCAGAUUAAUCCAGUUAAUAGUGCUGAAGCCAUAUUACUCAAAAUUUGCAUAUUGAGAAAUGGUCAACUGUUACAUCAAGAUUUUUUACCUUUUCUUCCCAUCCCCCUUUUGUAAUACUUUCCAAAUUCACUGAUAAUGAUUAUCAGGCAGGAAUUAAUUUGGAAGAAACACAGGAAUGUGGGAUUCAGUUUUUUGGGGAGCAGUUUUGAGAGUUUUUAAUGAGAGACUUGAUAAUGAAGGUAGGGUAAUCUUUGGAUUCAUUUUGCACUGAAACCUUUUUCUGCUGUUUCAGAGGUGCUUGCUGAAGGAUCCCCACGUCCUCUGUCUUCAGUGCCUGAUGUGACACAUCACCUGGUGACCAUGCAGUCAGGGAGGCAGUCGUAUGAGGUUUCUGUCUUAACUGCUGUAAAUCCGCAGGAGUUACUAAACCAAGGAGAUUUAACUGAAAGACGGACAUGAGCCAUGGGUGCUGACUCCUGGAAGAGUAGCUCUGUCUGAUCCCAGAGUGCAUUCAGUGGGAACAGGAUGCUUAUGGCUC